Molecule: non-coding RNA, 71 nt
Organism: Cordylochernes scorpioides
Lineage: Eukaryota; Metazoa; Arthropoda; Arachnida; Pseudoscorpiones; Chernetidae
Source: the annotation of a GenBank genome assembly
UGCCGUGACCACGAUUCAAACCUGGGUUUUUGCAGCCACAAUGCAAUGUCCUAACCACUAGACGAUCACGC